RNAcentral lists this ribosomal RNA (149 nucleotides) under Staphylococcus aureus. RNAcentral describes it as "partial 23S ribosomal RNA". It matches the Rfam family "Bacterial large subunit ribosomal RNA", at positions 1 to 148 of the family's 2925-position model. Lineage: Bacteria; Bacillati; Bacillota; Bacilli; Caryophanales; Staphylococcaceae. The record is from RNAcentral.
AGAUUAAGUUAUUAAGGGCGCACGGUGGAUGCCUUGGCACUAGAAGCCGAUGAAGGACGUUACUAACGACGAUAUGCUUUGGGGAGCUGUAAGUAAGCUUUGAUCCAGAGAUUUCCGAAUGGGGAAACCCAGCAUGAGUUAUGUCAUGU